UACGUAGGGUGCGAGCGUUAAUCGGAAUUACUGGGCGUAAAGCGUGCGCAGGCGGUUUUGUAAGCCAGAUGUGAAAUCCCCGGGCUUAACCUGGGAAUGGCAUUUGGGACUGCAAGGCUCGAGUGCGGCAGAGGAGACUGGAAUUCCUGGUGUAGCGGUGAAAUGCGCAGAUAUCAGGAGGAACACCGGUGGCGAAGGCGGGACUCUGGGCCGAUACUGACGCUGAGGAGCGAAAGCGUGGGGAGCAAACAGG
This 253-nucleotide ribosomal RNA is filed under the name uncultured bacterium. Its description in RNAcentral is "partial 16S ribosomal RNA". It matches the Rfam family "Bacterial small subunit ribosomal RNA", at positions 524 to 776 of the family's 1533-position model. The record is from RNAcentral.